UGCAAGUCGAGCGGAAACGACUUAACUGAACCUUCGGGGAACGUUAAGGGCGUCGAGCGGCGGACGGGUGAGUAAUGCCUGGGAAAUUGCCCUGAUGUGGGGGAUAACCAUUGGAAACGAUGGCUAAUACCGCAUAAUAGCUUCGGCUCAAAGAGGGGGACCUUCGGGCCUCUCGCGUCAGGAUAUGCCCAGGUGGGAUUAGCUAGUUGGUGAGGUAAGGGCUCACCAAGGCGACGAUCCCUAGCUGGUCUGAGAGGAUGAUCAGCCACACUGGAACUGAGACACGGUCCAGACUCCUACGGGAGGCAGCAGUGGGGAAUAUUGCACAAUGGGCGCAAGCCUGAUGCAGCCAUGCCGCGUGUAUGGAGAAGGCCUUCGGGUUGUAAAGUACUUUCAGCAGUGAGGAAGGUAGUGUAGUUAAUAGCUGCAUUAUUUGACGUUAGCUGCAGAAGAAGCACCGGCUAACUCCGUGCCAGCAGCCGCGGUAAUACGGAGGGUGCGAGCGUUAAUCGGAAUUACUGGGCGUAAAGCGCAUGCAGGUGGUUCGUUAAGUCAGAUGUGAAAGCCCGGGGCUCAACCUCGGAAUUGCAUUUGAAACUGGCGGACUAGAGUACUGUAGAGGGGGGUAGAAUUUCAGGUGUAGCGGUGAAAUGCGUAGAGA
RNAcentral lists this ribosomal RNA (661 nucleotides) under uncultured Vibrio sp. RNAcentral describes it as "bacterial SSU rRNA". It matches the Rfam family "Bacterial small subunit ribosomal RNA", at positions 56 to 696 of the family's 1533-position model. Lineage: Bacteria; Pseudomonadati; Pseudomonadota; Gammaproteobacteria; Vibrionales; Vibrionaceae. The record is from RNAcentral.